UACGGAGGGGGCUAGCGUUGUUCGGAAUUACUGGGCGUAAAGCGUGCGCAGGCGGUUUGUUAAGUCUGCUGUGAAAUCCCCGAGCUCAACUUGGGAAUUGCAGUGGAUACUGGCAAGCUGGAGUACGGUAGAGGAAGGUGGAAUUCCCGGUGUAGCAGUGAAAUGCGUAGAGAUCGGGAGGAACACCAGUGGCGAAGGCGGCCUUCUGGACCAGUACUGACGCUCAUGCACGAAAGCGUGGGGAGCAAACAGG
This 253-nucleotide ribosomal RNA is filed under the name uncultured bacterium. RNAcentral's name for it is "partial 16S ribosomal RNA". It matches the Rfam family "Bacterial small subunit ribosomal RNA", at positions 524 to 776 of the family's 1533-position model. The record is from RNAcentral.